Molecule: long non-coding RNA, 123 nt
Organism: Bufo bufo (common toad)
Lineage: Eukaryota; Metazoa; Chordata; Amphibia; Anura; Bufonidae
Exons: 4
Source: RefSeq, a predicted model, not a curated record
GGGGAUGUCAUCAACAUCUUGUAAAAUCAUGACUUCAAAAAGGUGACAAACACAGUUUUAUAAGUCGAUUUUAUGAGACAGCACAACGCAGAAAGAAGAUAUGAAUACAUCUUUGGGCACACU